UCCAAACUGCAAGUAACCCACAUUUUUUAAUAAACUGGCCUGAUAUGAAGAACUUCUUACCUGAUGAUUCCUGGGUCAGCAUUUCCAAACAAAGCAGGAAAAAAACCCAUUUCCCUAAGCUGAAUCCUCUUUCUGUAAGAGCAGCCUUCACCCCCAGGCAACUGUACCACCACAUCAGAGCCCAGCAUUCAGCUCCCACCAAACAGCAGUGCUCGCUGAAAACAGACAAGGACUGGUGCUGGAUCGAUGAGGCAAAGGGAAUUCAUCCAUGGAAAUGCAAUCUGCAUGGCUGAACAUGGAUAAGGAGGAGACAGCAGGAGUGCUGAACAGGGUUGACCGUGCACCACAAAUUAGGAGGGGAAGAAGCCAGUGAGAUUUUUCAGACAGUCUCUCCGUGUGCAAUUAGGAUGAAGUUAAGCUCAAGGACUCGGCAAUGCAUUUGGUUGCAGAAGCAGCAGAAGGAUGAAGGCGAGUGGAAAAAGGUGGAGGUGCUCAUCACUGAGGGCAGUAGGAGGCAGGUAGGACACAUGUACGUCGGCGUUCAGGUCAACUGCAGCCAUCUAAGGGCUUCAAAUAAGCAUAGCUGACUGGUGAAAAGUGAGACGUUUCCAGAGGGCGGUUGUAGGACUAUGUUAGAUAGCCAAAUUGGGGUGGGCUUGCUUAACCCUGAUGAUACCCUGCUCUCCGUUUUCACUGUGGGAGAGCACUAGGUGACUAUCUUCUGCUGGACUUAAGUCGAUGAAAACUCCCCCACACCUCUUAUGGAGGGAAAAACCAGGAAAAUCCAGGCGUGAAUGCCCAAGUGACAGCUUGUAAGAGACACAGCCAACAAUCAGCUGCAAGUGUGAGAAGGGUGAGAACAGGAGGCUAAAAGAAGGGCUGCCAGGGGUGCCAAAAGGGAGAGAUUAUUCAAGUGGAUCAAAGGAAAGGGAAGCAGGACAUGAUAAUCUGGGACAGCCCUUCUCCAGGAUGGAAUCCAUUGGGCUGCAAGCUCACAUCUGCAGGGAAGCAGCAGGAGCCACAGGGACCGAGUCUCUUAAAGCAGGACUGGAUGAAGCAGCAACGCAUGUGCUCUAAGGAAGAGUCCCAGAGCAGGCAGGGGACAUCUGUAUUGAAAGACAUCUCCAGAUCUUAUUUCGUCAUUGUUUUAGAAGGAAUAGUAGUUCAUCUGGAGACUGUUGGGACUAUUGUCAAAGUAAGGCAGUAAUCCAUGGAGCAAAUCCCCACCUGGCCUUACUAAAGGAGGUGACUUCACUACAGUGAGUAAAGCUGCUGCAGCUUUUCUCAGAGAAGGCUGUGAAGAUGCUUUUCGGUGAACGUGAGUCACACCAUGGAUCCGAUUGCCACUUCUGAACCCUCUGGCUCUGGGGACCAUGAGGUGGCGCAGUUACCCUGGAUAUCAGAUCACAGCUGGCUGCACACUGGCCAGGGAGUCGGUGAGGUACUGCGGGACAAGAAAGAGCAAUCAAGCGUAUUGCACUCUCCUGUUAGCAAGUGUGGCCCUUGCAAGGAUCCCUUUCCUCUCCUUUUCUUAAAUAGGGCUUUAAAAAAAUAAACUAACGGCAAAUGCAUUUUAUGUUUUCCCCCUGGAAAGCACUACAAGGACAUCGCUUGUUUUAUUAGCGGGGCAGUGGGAUGCAA
This is a long non-coding RNA of Harpia harpyja (harpy eagle), 1641 nucleotides long. RefSeq lists it as uncharacterized. Lineage: Eukaryota; Metazoa; Chordata; Aves; Accipitriformes; Accipitridae. The record is from RefSeq and is a predicted model, not a curated record. The transcript has 3 exons.